GUCUCCAGCCAGGCCACCCUGAACAAGCCCGAUCCCGCCUGAUCUCGGAAGCUAAGCAGGGUUGGGCCUGGGUGGUAUUUGGAUGGGAGACCACCUAGGAAGACCAGGUGCUGUAGGCA
Molecule: non-coding RNA, 119 nt
Organism: Pteropus alecto (black flying fox)
Lineage: Eukaryota; Metazoa; Chordata; Mammalia; Chiroptera; Pteropodidae
Source: Rfam